RNAcentral lists this ribosomal RNA (470 nucleotides) under Acinetobacter baumannii. RNAcentral describes it as "bacterial SSU rRNA". It matches the Rfam family "Bacterial small subunit ribosomal RNA", at positions 321 to 783 of the family's 1533-position model. The record is from RNAcentral. Lineage: Bacteria; Pseudomonadati; Pseudomonadota; Gammaproteobacteria; Moraxellales; Moraxellaceae.
GAGACAGGGUCCAGACUCCUACGGGAGGCAGCAGUGGGGAAUAUUGCACAAUGGGCGCAAGCCUGAUGCAGCCAUGCCGCGUGUGUGAAGAAGGCCUUCGGGUUGUAAAGCACUUUCAGCGGGGAGGAAGGCGGUGAGGUUAAUAACCUCAUCGAUUGACGUUACCCGCAGAAGAAGCACCGGCUAACUCCGUGCCAGCAGCCGCGGUAAUACGGAGGGUGCAAGCGUUAAUCGGAAUUACUGGGCGUAAAGCGCACGCAGGCGGUCUGUCAAGUCGGAUGUGAAAUCCCCGGGCUCAACCUGGGAACUGCAUUCGAAACUGGCAGGCUAGAGUCUUGUAGAGGGGGGUAGAAUUCCAGGUGUAGCGGUGAAAUGCGUAGAGAUCUGGAGGAAUACCGGUGGCGAAGGCGGCCCCCUGGACAAAGACUGACGCUCAGGUGCGAAAGCGUGGGGAGCAAACAGGAUUAGAU